GCUGCCCCUAGUGACUUUGCAGGCGUGGCUGCUAUGUCACGUUUACGUCAGUAAGUGGCAGAGAGGAGAGAGGUGGUCUGGACUCAGUGUUCUAACUAUGAAUAUCUGAAUGGUUAGUAGCCUGACACU
Molecule: small nucleolar RNA, 129 nt
Organism: Arvicanthis niloticus (Nile rat)
Lineage: Eukaryota; Metazoa; Chordata; Mammalia; Rodentia; Muridae
Product: small nucleolar RNA SNORA17
Source: RefSeq, a predicted model, not a curated record